CUCAUGUGAUGAUUAUCUAUAUUUGCUACUUCGGACGGGGCGUCAAAACUUCGAAUGAGACAUACUUUUAUCACCAAGAUCUCUGAUGAG
RNAcentral lists this small nucleolar RNA (90 nucleotides) under Henningerozyma blattae CBS 6284. RNAcentral's name for it is "Tetrapisispora blattae CBS 6284 Small nucleolar RNA SNORD24". It matches the Rfam family "Small nucleolar RNA SNORD24". From Rfam's summary of the family: U24 is a member of the C/D class of snoRNA which contain the C (UGAUGA) and D (CUGA) box motifs. The record is from Rfam by way of RNAcentral. Lineage: Eukaryota; Fungi; Ascomycota; Saccharomycetes; Saccharomycetales; Saccharomycetaceae.